This 1829-nucleotide long non-coding RNA is filed under the name Nicotiana tabacum (common tobacco). RNAcentral describes it as "long non-coding RNA (NTAB_LNC000156)". The record is from RNAcentral. Lineage: Eukaryota; Viridiplantae; Streptophyta; Magnoliopsida; Solanales; Solanaceae.
ACUCAAUGAGCCUCUUUAUUCGUCCCAACCGUAUCCAAAUGAUUAGUGUCUAGUGAUGUUUGGAGGGCCGGGACAUCCACGAACACAUAUUCCAGCAGAGCACAUACAGAUUCCACAGCGCUUACAUAUAGGAAAGCAGUCUUCGUUCACAUUGCAAAAUGGUAGCUUCUCUGCACUAAUUCCUCUUGUGGGUAUUUCUGGUAAAAACGAUGGAUUUAGAAUUUAAGUUCUAUCAUUUUGGUCUUUAUUAUAAGUUUCAUCUAGUAUUUGUUUCAAUGAUAGAGUAUUUUUAUACAUAAAUUUAUAUAUUGUGCUAAAUUAUUAGAUUCGAAUGAACUCGGUACCACAACACUAGGUCCGCCCUUGCCUGCAUGCCAUAUUUACUUUUUUCAUUAAGCAAAUACAAGAUAGUUGCUUUUUUUUUUCCUUCACUUGUACCGUCAUAUGACGGUAGUUGGGCCAAUAUGUUAAUUAGAAAUAGUUUGAUUACAUUUGCCAAUUGAAAAUUAGCCACAAAUUUAGUUAUUUUUUCAUGUAAAAAUAAAUCUGAAUGAAACACCCUUAAAAAUCUGAAAAAAAUUCAGCAUAAUAUGCUGGAAUUUGAAUGUUUUAUAUAUGAGAUUCUAGCAUAAUGUGUAGAAGUUCCAACAUAAUAUAUUGAAAGUUUAUAUGCAGGAGCUCCAUAAUCGAGCAUACUAUGCUGAAACUUUCUGUGUUUCAGUUAUGGUAUUUUGGUCCAAAUUUUAUCUCCGCAUAAAAUAGUGGUUAUUUUUCAAUAAAUUUACAAAUGCUGGUUAUUUUUCAAUUAUUAGUCCGAAAACUAGGUAGCCAUUGCCAUUUGACAAUAUGUUAAUAAACAAUCAUGAGUUAAAUUUUUGUUCAAUGAUAGUGCGUGUAAAGGAAUGUUUAGACAAUCAAGUCACUUAAAAGAUGAUUACAUGUAACCAUCCAUAAAUUCUGAGAUUAAUAACCUGAAAAAUUAGAUAGAUUACAUGUCACCACAUGUUGAAGUAGGAGAACUGUGUGGGUAUUGAUUUGCCGGUCUUGUAAUCAGUACAUUUGGCUCAUUUGUUUUAGUGAAGUUGAAGCUAAAAUAAAAACCAAGUUCUUUAGUAAUUAAGGAAGGCAAGAACCAAGUUCUUUAGUAAUUUAGGAAGGCACACAAACUAACCGUCAAAAUGAGAAACUAAAUAAUAAAUCCAUUUUUAUGCACUAGGUGUACCAAUGUUAUGUUGCAUGCAUAAGAGAAAUGAAUUUGAUAACUAAUGAUCAGACUCCAAGUAUCUUUCGAUUUCUUCAUUGAACCCCAAUAAUAUGAAUGGUAUAAAGUUAAUAGUACUAGUGCGUGUUAUUAUCAGUUUUAGUCAAACACAAGAGUAACAAGACAUAAUACGAAGAUGCGAAAGUAAGUCGUAUUACUGGGAUGUGAUAUAUCUUGAUGAGUAUCCACAAAUACCGGAACAGAUUCCCAGGUAUUGCUUAAUCCAAUUUCUAUCAUCUUAUCAAAUACUCCCUCCAUUUCGAUUUACGUGAACUCAUUUGACUGGGCACGAAAUUUAAGAAAAGAGAGAAUACUUUUGAACUUGUNNNNNNNNNNNNNNNNNNNNNNNNNNNNNNNNNNNNNNNNGUAUAAAGGUAAAUUGUUUCCAAAUAGGAAAAGCGGACAUUCUUUUUCGCACAGAUUAAAAAAAAAAUAGAUUCAUAUAAAUUAAAACGGAGAAAGUAUAUAUUAUUUAUAUUUGUUGAAUGAUUGCAGGUUUCUCCUCGGAGCGAUGGAUCAUCCACCAUAUUUACCGUGAGACAAAUACGGUAGCACACACUCUAACUAG